CUGCCAGUUGCCAACGGGUCGAAGCCGGGCACUCUGGCGGGACUGCCAUCGACAAGAUGGAGGAAGGUGGGGAUGACGUCAAGGUCAUCAUGGCCCUUAUGUCCAGGGCGACACACGUGCUACAAUGGCCGGCACAGCGGGAAGCGAGGCAGUGAUGCCAAGCGGAUCCCUUAAAGCCGGUCUCAGUUCGGAUUGAAGUCUGCAACUCGACUUCAUGAAGCUGGAAUCGCUAGUAAUCGCAGAUCAGCCAAGCUGCGGUGAAUACGUUCCCGGGCCUU
This 278-nucleotide ribosomal RNA is filed under the name uncultured Thermanaerovibrio sp. RNAcentral's name for it is "partial 16S ribosomal RNA". It matches the Rfam family "Bacterial small subunit ribosomal RNA", at positions 1108 to 1382 of the family's 1533-position model. The record is from RNAcentral. Lineage: Bacteria; Thermotogati; Synergistota; Synergistia; Synergistales; Synergistaceae.